UUGUAACAAUAAAGUUCCUGGUCUGC
RNAcentral lists this non-coding RNA (26 nucleotides) under Homo sapiens (human). Lineage: Eukaryota; Metazoa; Chordata; Mammalia; Primates; Hominidae. The record is from RNAcentral.